CCUACGGGAGACAGCAGUGAGGAAUAUUGGUCAAUGGGCGCGAGCCUGAACCAGCCAAGUCGCGUGAGGGAAGACGGUCCUAUGGAUUGUAAACCUCUUUUGUCGGGGAGUAAAAUACGCCAUGCGUGCUGCUCCGCGUGUACCCGAUGAAUAAGCAUCGGCUAACUCCGUGCCAGCAGCCGCGGUAAUACGGAGGAUGCGAGCGUUAUCCGGAUUUAUUGGGUUUAAAGGGUGCGCAGGCGGGCCUUUAAGCCGGCGGUGAAAUCGGGGGGCUCAACCCCACCGAGCCGUCGGAACUGGGGGCGUUGAGUGCGGCAGAGGCAGGCGGAAUUCGCGGUGUAGCGGUGAAAUGCAUAGAUAUCGCGCAGAACCCCGAUUGCGAAGGCAGCGUGCCGUACCGCAACUGACGCUGAGGCACGAAAGCGCGGGGAUCGAACAGGAUUAGAUACCCGUGUAGUC
RNAcentral lists this ribosomal RNA (459 nucleotides) under uncultured bacterium. Its description in RNAcentral is "partial 16S ribosomal RNA". It matches the Rfam family "Bacterial small subunit ribosomal RNA", at positions 338 to 795 of the family's 1533-position model. The record is from RNAcentral.